GAAAACUGCAGGCUCCGAGCUGGGUGCAGCAACCGGAGGCGGCGGCGCGUCUGGAGGAGGCUGCAGCAGCGGAAGACCCCAGUCCAGAUCCAGGACUGAGAUCCCAGAACCAUGAACCUGGUCAUCAGCAUCGCUCUCCUGCUAACAGGUGGGUGGGAGGCCUCUGCGCCGUAGGCCCCUCCAAUUUGAAGGAGGCACUGCUGGUGCCAGUCUUGCAGGUCUCCCGAGGGCAGAAGGUGACCAGCCUAACGGCCUGCCUAGUGGACCAGAGCCUUCGUCUCGACUGCCGCCAUGAGAAUACCACCACUUCACCCAUCCAGUACGAGUUCAGCCUGACCCGUGAGACAAAGAAGCAUGUGCUCUUUGGCACUGUCGGGGUGCCUGAGCACACAUACCGCUCCCGAACCAACUUCACCAGCAAAUACAACAUGAAGGUCCUCUACUUAUCCGCCUUCACUAGCAAGGAUGAGGGGACCUACACGUGCGCACUCCACCACUCUGGCCAUUCCCCACCCAUCUCCUCCCAGAACGUCACUGUGCUCAGAGACAAACUGGUCAAGUGUGAGGGCAUCAGCCUGCUGGCUCAGAACACCUCGUGGCUG
RNAcentral lists this small RNA (602 nucleotides) under Pongo abelii (Sumatran orangutan). RNAcentral describes it as "retained intron". Lineage: Eukaryota; Metazoa; Chordata; Mammalia; Primates; Hominidae. The record is from RNAcentral.